Molecule: ribosomal RNA, 440 nt
Filed under: uncultured bacterium
Lineage: Bacteria
Description: partial 16S ribosomal RNA
Rfam family: Bacterial small subunit ribosomal RNA
Source: RNAcentral
CCUACGGGGGGCUGCAGUGGGGGAUAUUGCACAAUGGGGGGAACCCUGAUGCAGCGACGCCGCGUGGGUGAAGAAGCGCCUCGGCGCGUAAAGCCCUGUCAGCAGGGAAGAAAAUGACGGUACCUGAAGAAGAAGCCCCGGGUAAAUACGAGCCAGCAGCCGCGGUAAUACGUCGGGGGCAAGCGUUAUCCGGAUUUAAUGGGUGUAAAGGGGGCGCAGGCGGCAGUGCAAGCCAGGAGUGAAAGCCCGGGGCCCAACCCCGGGUCCGCUCUUGGAACUGGGUGGCUGGAGUGCAGGAGGGGCAGGUGGAAUUCCUGGUGUAGCGGUGAAAUGCGUAGAUAUCAGGAGGAACACCGGUGGCGAAGGCGGCCUGCUGGACUGAAACUGACGUUGAGGCCCGAAAGCGUGGGGAGCAAACAGGAUUAGAUACCCUUGUAGUC